UACGAAGGGUGCAAGCGUUGUUCGGAAUCAUUGGGCGUAAAGCGCGCGCAGGCGGAUCAGCAAGUCAGAUGUGAAAUCUCGGAGCUCAACUCCGAAACUGCGUCUGAAACUGCUAGUCUAGAAUGUCGGAGGGGGCAGGGGAAUUUCACGUGUAGGGGUAAAAUCCGUAGAGAUGUGAAGGAACACCGGAGGCGAAGGCGCCUGCCUGGACGACUAUUGACGCUGAGGUGCGAAAGUGUGGGGAGCGAACAGG
RNAcentral lists this ribosomal RNA (253 nucleotides) under uncultured bacterium. RNAcentral describes it as "partial 16S ribosomal RNA". It matches the Rfam family "Bacterial small subunit ribosomal RNA", at positions 524 to 776 of the family's 1533-position model. The record is from RNAcentral.